This 206-nucleotide long non-coding RNA is filed under the name Olea europaea (common olive). Its description in RNAcentral is "long non-coding RNA (OEUR_LNC008906)". Lineage: Eukaryota; Viridiplantae; Streptophyta; Magnoliopsida; Lamiales; Oleaceae. The record is from RNAcentral.
AGGAACAUCACAUCUCACUAUACCCCAAACUCAUUUCCAAUAUUAAUUCAAGCGUUUUUGAUCCCUCGAGUAUUUAUGGAACAUACUUGAACCCCACAUCAUAUCAUUAUAUUCACAAUUGUGUUUUAUAGCCUAAAUGGUUAAACACAAUUGUCCGGUUGGUGAACACAAAUAUAAAUGUUGGUCAAAAUAGUUUUCAUUUUCCU